This 497-nucleotide ribosomal RNA is filed under the name uncultured bacterium. Its description in RNAcentral is "partial 16S ribosomal RNA". It matches the Rfam family "Bacterial small subunit ribosomal RNA", at positions 28 to 507 of the family's 1533-position model. The record is from RNAcentral.
GAUGAACGCUGGCGGCGUGCCUAAUACAUGCAAGUCGAGCGAACGUCCGAGAAGCUUGCUUUUCUGAUGUUAGCGGCGGACGGGUGAGUAACACGUGGCUAACCUACCUAUAAGACUGGGCUUACUUCGGGAAACCGUAGCUACUACCGGAUAAUCUUUUGACCCGCAUUGUUCAAUAGUGCAGGCCGGUCUUGCUGUCACUUAUAGAUUGAUCCGCGCUGCAUUAGCUAGUUGGUAAGGUAACAGCUUAUCAAGGCAACGAUGCAUAGCCUACCUUAGAGGGUGAUCGGCCACACUGGAAUGGAGCCACGCUCCAGACUCCUACGGGAGGCAGCAGUAGGCAAUCGUCCGCAGCAGUCGAAAGCCUGACGGAGCAACGCCGCGUGAGUGAUGAAGGUCUUCGGAUCGUAAAACUCUGUUAUUAGGGAAGAACAUAUGUGUAAGUAACUGUGCACAUCUUGACGGUACCUAAUCAGAAAGCCACGGCUAACUACGUG